This 224-nucleotide unclassified non-coding RNA is filed under the name Hevea brasiliensis (rubber tree). The record is from RNAcentral. Lineage: Eukaryota; Viridiplantae; Streptophyta; Magnoliopsida; Malpighiales; Euphorbiaceae.
GAUCUAUUAGAUUAAGUAAAUAGAUUAAGUAAAAUUACAAAGAAUCCCACGAUUUAGUCUAUUAUUUUUUUUUUAUUCAUAAAGCACAUGUAUAUUUUUUUUAAUCAUUUCAUUCGCGAGGAGCUGGAUGAGAAGAAACUCUCAUGUCCGGUUCUGUAGUAGAGAUGGAAUUGAGAAACAACCAUCAACUAUAACCCCAAAAGAACCCGAUUCCGUAAACAACA